GGUGGCGUGGUGUAAUGGUUAGAACUGGAGUCUCUGAAUCUCCAAAUCUGGGUUCGAUUCCCUUUGCGACCU
Molecule: transfer RNA, 72 nt
Filed under: Gregarina niphandrodes
Lineage: Eukaryota; Apicomplexa; Conoidasida; Eugregarinorida; Gregarinidae
Rfam family: tRNA
About the family: Transfer RNA (tRNA) molecules are approximately 80 nucleotides in length.
Source: Rfam by way of RNAcentral